UACAGAGGGGGCAAGCGUUGUUCGGAAUUACUGGGCGUAAAGGGCGCGUAGGCGGCCAACUAAGUCAGACGUGAAAUCCCUCGGCUUAACCGGGGAACUGCAUCUGAUACUGGAUGGCUUGAGUUCGGGAGAGGGAUGCGGAAUUCCAGGUGUAGCGGUGAAAUGCGUAGAUAUCCGGAGGAACACCGGUGGCGAAGGCGGCUUCCUGGACCGACACUGACGCUGAGGCACGAAGGUCAGGGGAGCAAACGGG
Molecule: ribosomal RNA, 253 nt
Filed under: uncultured bacterium
Lineage: Bacteria
Description: partial 16S ribosomal RNA
Rfam family: Bacterial small subunit ribosomal RNA
Source: RNAcentral